UACGGAGGGGGCUAGCGUUGUUCGGAAUUACUGGGCGUAAAGCGCACGUAGGCGGCUUUGUAAGUUAGAGGUGAAAGCCCGGGGCUCAACUCCGGAAUUGCCUUUAAGACUGCAUCGCUAGAAUUGUGGAGAGGUGAGUGGAAUUCCGAGUGUAGAGGUGAAAUUCGUAGAUAUUCGGAAGAACACCAGUGGCGAAGGCGACUCACUGGACACAUAUUGACGCUGAUGCACGAAAGCUAGGGGAGCAAACAGG
Molecule: ribosomal RNA, 253 nt
Filed under: uncultured bacterium
Lineage: Bacteria
Description: partial 16S ribosomal RNA
Rfam family: Bacterial small subunit ribosomal RNA
Source: RNAcentral